This is a non-coding RNA of Schistosoma mansoni, 45 nucleotides long. The record is from Rfam. NCBI's taxonomy places the organism in Eukaryota, Metazoa, Platyhelminthes, Trematoda, Strigeidida, Schistosomatidae.
AUCCAGCUGAUGAGUCCCAAAUAGGACGAAACAUGCACCUUGGAU